Molecule: non-coding RNA, 23 nt
Filed under: Arabidopsis thaliana (thale cress)
Lineage: Eukaryota; Viridiplantae; Streptophyta; Magnoliopsida; Brassicales; Brassicaceae
Source: RNAcentral
GCGCAUCCUUAUACUUAUGCUCU